GCAAAGCAGAAAGAAUGGGGGACCUGAAAUCCACAAAUUCCGCCAUAAGGUCCUCAUGCAUAACUGGCAUAUUGACAAAAGUCAAAACUGACACUCAGUCAUACAUGUCCAAACCGCACAGAUUGGCAAAGUAAUCAUAUGACCAAGAGAAAGGAAAAAAUUAUAACCAUUCCUAAAACUAUCAAUUAAACUAGAUUGGCAAAUUUAUAUUAAUUCCCAUACCAUGUAUCAAAUAAAAAAUUGCCCUCAUCCAAUAAAAAAAUUAAGAAUAUUUUCAUGUAUAUAUUUAUUUUAAUAGCUUUUUUUGUUAUUUUU
Molecule: unclassified non-coding RNA, 315 nt
Filed under: Hevea brasiliensis (rubber tree)
Lineage: Eukaryota; Viridiplantae; Streptophyta; Magnoliopsida; Malpighiales; Euphorbiaceae
Source: RNAcentral